UAGAGUUUGAUCCUGGCUCAGGAUGAACGCUAGCGGCAGGCUUAACACAUGCAAGUCGAGGGGCAUCGGGAGGGAAGCUUGCUUUCCUUGCCGGCGACCGGCGCACGGGUGAGUAACACGUAUGCAACCUGCCCUCUUCAGGGGGACAACCUUCCGAAAGGGAGGCUAAUCCCGCGUAUAUCGGUUUCGGGCAUCCGAGAUCGAGGAAAGAUUCAUCGGAAGAGGAUGGGCAUGCGGCGCAUUAGCUUGACGGCGGGGUAACGGCCCACCGUGGCGACGAUGCGUAGGGGUUCUGAGAGGAAGGUCCCCCACACUGGUACUGAGACACGGACCAGACUCCUACGGGAGGCAGCAGUGAGGAAUAUUGGUCAAUGGGAGAGAUCCUGAACCAGCCAAGCCGCGUGAGGGAAGACGGCCCUAUGGGUUGUAAACCUCUUUUGUCGGAGAACAAAACCCGGGACGUGUCCCGGACUGCGUGUAUCCGAAGAAAAAGCAUCGGCUAACUCCGUGCCAGCAGCCGCGGUAAUACGGAGGAUGCGAGCGUUAUCCGGAUUUAUUGGGUUUAAAGGGUGCGUAGGCGGUCCGUUAAGUCAGCGGUAAAAUUGCGGGGCUCAACCCCGUUGAGCCGUUGAAACUGGCAGACUUGAGUUGGCGAGAAGUACGCGGAAUGCGCGGUGUAGCGGUGAAAUGCAUAGAUAUCGCGCAGAACUCCGAUUGCGAAGGCAGCGUACCGGCGCCACACUGACGCUGAGGCACGAAAGCGUGGGGAUCGAACAGGAUUAGAUACCCUGGUA
Molecule: ribosomal RNA, 794 nt
Filed under: uncultured bacterium
Lineage: Bacteria
Description: bacterial SSU rRNA
Rfam family: Bacterial small subunit ribosomal RNA
Source: RNAcentral